RNAcentral lists this ribosomal RNA (1001 nucleotides) under Bacillus canaveralius. RNAcentral's name for it is "bacterial LSU rRNA". It matches the Rfam family "Bacterial large subunit ribosomal RNA", at positions 621 to 1614 of the family's 2925-position model. The record is from RNAcentral. Lineage: Bacteria; Bacillati; Bacillota; Bacilli; Caryophanales; Bacillaceae.
CGGCGAGUUACGAUUACAUGCAAGGUUAAGCCCGAGAAGGCGGAGCCGCAGCGAAAGCGAGUCUGAACAGGGCGAAUUAGUAUGUGGUUGUAGACCCGAAACCAGGUGAUCUACCCAUGUCCAGGGUGAAGUCCAGGUAACACUGGAUGGAGGCCCGAACCCACGCACGUUGAAAAGUGCGGGGAUGAGGUGUGGGUAGCGGAGAAAUUCCAAUCGAACCUGGAGAUAGCUGGUUCUCUCCGAAAUAGCUUUAGGGCUAGCCUCAUGUUGUAAGAGUCUUGGAGGUAGAGCACUGUUUGGACUAGGGGCCCUCAUCGGGUUACCGAAUUCAGACAAACUCCGAAUGCCAAAGACUUAUCCAUGGGAGUCAGACUGCGAGUGAUAAGAUCCGUAGUCGAAAGGGAAACAGCCCAGACCACCAGCUAAGGUCCCAAAGUAUACGUUAAGUGGAAAAGGAUGUGGAGUUGCUUAGACAACCAGGAUGUUGGCUUAGAAGCAGCCACCAUUUAAAGAGUGCGUAAUAGCUCACUGGUCGAGUGACUCUGCGCCGAAAAUGUACCGGGGCUAAACGUAUCACCGAAGCUGUGGGUGGACACCGUAGGUGUCCGCGGUAGGAGAGCGUUCUAAGGGCGUUGAAGCGGGACCGGGAGGACUCGUGGAGCGCUUAGAAGUGAGAAUGCCGGUAUGAGUAGCGAAAGAUGGGUGAGAAUCCCAUCCACCGAAUGCCUAAGGUUUCCUGAGGAAGGCUCGUCCGCUCAGGGUUAGUCGGGACCUAAGCCGAGGCCGAAAGGCGUAGGCGAUGGACAACAGGUUGAUAUUCCUGUACCACCUCUUUUCCGUUUGAGCAAUGGGGGGACGCAGGAGGAUAGGGCAAGCGCACUGCUGGUUAUGUGCGUCCAAGCAGUUAGGCUGGUCACGAGGCAAAUCCCGUGAUCGCAAGGCUGAGCUGUGAUGGCGAGGGAAAUAUAGUACCGAAGUUCCUGAUUCCACACUGCCAAGAA